UGGGGAAUCUUCCGCAAUGGACGAAAGUCUGACGGAGCAACGCCGCGUGAGUGAUGACGGCCUUCGGGUUGUAAAGCUCUGUUAAUCGGGACGAAUGGUUCUUGUGCGAAUAGUGCGAGGGUUUGACGGUACCGGAAUAGAAAGCCACGGCUAACUACGUGCCAGCAGCCGCGGUAAUACGUAGGUGGCAAGCGUUGUCCGGAAUUAUUGGGCGUAAAGCGCGCGCAGGCGGAUUGGUCAGUCUGUCUUAAAAGUUCGGGGCUUAACCCCGUGACGGGAUGGAAACUGCCAAUCUAGAGUAUCGGAGAGGAAAGUGGAAUUCCUAGUGUAGCGGUGAAAUGCGUAGAUAUUAGGAAGAACACCAGUGGCGAAGGCGACUUUCUGGACGAAAACUGACGCUGAGGCGCGAAAGCCAGGGGAGCGAACGGGAUUAGAUACCCCGGUAGUCCUGGCCGUAAACGAUGGGUACUAGGUGUAGGAGGUAUCGACCCCUUCUGUGCCGGAGUUAACGCAAUAAGUACCCCGCCUGGGGAGUACGACCGCAAGGUUG
This 550-nucleotide ribosomal RNA is filed under the name uncultured bacterium. RNAcentral's name for it is "bacterial SSU rRNA". It matches the Rfam family "Bacterial small subunit ribosomal RNA", at positions 355 to 896 of the family's 1533-position model. The record is from RNAcentral.